GUGGGGAAUUUUGGACAAUGGGCGCAAGCCUGAUCCAGCAAUGCCGCGUGUGUGAAGAAGGCCUUCGGGUUAUAAAGCACUUUUGGCAGGAAAGAAAUAGCGCGUGCUAAUACCAUGCGCGAAUGACGGUACCUGCAGAAUAAGCACCGGCUAACUACGUGCCAGCAGCCGCGGUAAGACGUAGGGUGCAAGCGUUAAUCGGAAUUACUGGGCGUAAAGCGUGCGCAGGCGGUUUUGUAAGACAGGUGUGAAAUCCCCGGGCUCAACCUGGGAACUGCACUUGUGACUGCAAGGCUAGAGUGUGUCAGAGGGAGGUGGAAUUCCGCGUGUAGCAGUGAAAUGCGUAGAGAUGCGGAGGAACACCGAUGGCGAAGGCAGCCUCCUGGGAUAACACUGACGCUCAGGCACGAAAGCGUGGGGAGCAAACAGGAUUAGAAACCCUAGUAGUCC
This 450-nucleotide ribosomal RNA is filed under the name uncultured bacterium. RNAcentral's name for it is "partial 16S ribosomal RNA". It matches the Rfam family "Bacterial small subunit ribosomal RNA", at positions 354 to 796 of the family's 1533-position model. The record is from RNAcentral.